GUGCCGUGAGGUGUCGGUUAAGUCCCAUAACGAGCGCAACCCUACCUUUAGUUGCCAUCAGGUAAUGCUGGGGACUCUAAAGGAACUGCCUACGCAAGUAGUGAGGAAGCGGGGAUGACGUCAAAUCAGCACGGCCCUUACGUCCAGGGCUACACACGUGCUACAAUGGCCGAUACAGAGGGCAGCUACCUGGUGACAGGAUGCAAAUCUCCAAAGUCGGUCUCAGUUCGGAUCGGAGUCUGCAACCCGACUCCGUGAAGUUGGAUUCGCUAGUAAUCGCGCAUCAGCCAUGGCGCGGUGAAUACGUUCCCGGGCCUU
RNAcentral lists this ribosomal RNA (318 nucleotides) under uncultured Sphingobacteriales bacterium. RNAcentral's name for it is "bacterial SSU rRNA". It matches the Rfam family "Bacterial small subunit ribosomal RNA", at positions 1062 to 1382 of the family's 1533-position model. The record is from RNAcentral. Lineage: Bacteria; Pseudomonadati; Bacteroidota; Sphingobacteriia; Sphingobacteriales.